RNAcentral lists this ribosomal RNA (414 nucleotides) under uncultured microorganism. RNAcentral's name for it is "bacterial SSU rRNA". It matches the Rfam family "Archaeal small subunit ribosomal RNA", at positions 459 to 872 of the family's 1478-position model. The record is from RNAcentral.
CAGCCGCCGCGGUAAUACCGGCGGCCCGAGUGGCGGCCACUAUUAUUGGGCUUAAAGCGUCCGUAGCCGGGUUGGUUAGUCUCCCGGGAAAUCUGGCCGCUUAACGGUCAGAAUUCCGGGAGAUACUGCCAGCCUAGGGACCGGGAGAGGCCGAGGGUAUUCCCGGAGUAGGGGUGAAAUCCUAUAAUCCCGGGAGGACCACCUGUGGCGAAGGCGCUCGGCUGGAACGCGUCCGACGGUGAGGGACGAAGGCCAGGGGAGCAAACCGGAUUAGAUACCCGGGUAGUCCUGGCUGUAAACGAUGCGGACUUUGUGUCGGACAAGCUAUGAGCUUGUCCGGUGCCGGAGGGAAACCGUUAAGUCCGCCGCCUGGGGAGUACGGCCGCAAGGCUGAAACUUAAAGGAAUUGGCGGG